Molecule: ribosomal RNA, 465 nt
Filed under: uncultured bacterium
Lineage: Bacteria
Description: partial 16S ribosomal RNA
Rfam family: Bacterial small subunit ribosomal RNA
Source: RNAcentral
GAUGAACGCUGGCGGCGUGCUUAACACAUGCAAGUCGAACGGAAAGGCUCCUGCUUGCUGGGGUACUCGAGUGGCGAACGGGUGAGUAACACGUGGGUGAUCUGCCCUGCACUUCGGGAUAAGCCUGGGAAACUGGGUCUAAUACCGGAUAGGACGAUGGUUUGGAUGCCAUUGUGGAAAGUUUUUCGGUGUGGGAUGAGCUCGCGGCCUAUCAGCUUGUUGGUGGGGUAGUGGCCUACCAAGGCGUCGACGGGUAGCCGGCCUGAGAGGGUGUACGGCCACAUUGGGACUGAGAUACGGCCCAGACUCCUACGGGAGGCAGCAGUGGGGAAUAUUGCACAAUGGGCGCAAGCCUGAUGCAGCGACGCCGCGUGGGGGAUGACGGCCUUCGGGUUGUAAACUGCUUUCGCUAGGGACGAAGCGCAAGUGACGGUACCUGGAGAAGAAGCACCGGCUAACUACGUG